GAAAUAUAUACCACUCAGAGUGGUGGAAUGUUGCACAACUACUGAUGAAGAAAAUAUUGUACAUUACUGUAGGCCCUAUUAUGGAGCUGCAUGUUUGGUUGUUUCAUUGAUGAUUGUACUUUUCUUUAUCUUUAUUAUUGCUGUUCAUCCCUGUUCUUCUUUUAAG
RNAcentral lists this non-coding RNA (166 nucleotides) under Heterosigma akashiwo. Lineage: Eukaryota; Raphidophyceae; Chattonellales; Chattonellaceae. The record is from RNAcentral.